CUUGGUAUGUGAUGUCUUCUUAACUGGACUUUUGCAGAACUGAUUCCUCACCAGCCCUCUGCUUUUCAGAAAAAGCCCAUAGGUGUAAACCCAAGCUUCGAGCACAGCUGCACCUGGAAACACAGCACAGCUGUCAGCUGGGGAGGAACAGAGACUUUCAGUUUGCAAAGUAUUGACAGCUGGGUGAAAGAAGAGUGAUUGCACUAAGAGCAGAGGUAUGAACACUCUGGGGAGCCAAAAUUCUGCAAGAGGCAAUUCCACAAGCUUGGGAAGACCUGUCUCAGCACAUCCUAUUGCCAUAAUCAGGAUUCAUCCUUGGAGUCAUCAGCAGUGAUGAACUACACAGAACAUGUUUGGAUCAAGCAUCAGACUGGUUUUGGUUUGUGACUCAUUUAUUGGUCAGAAAUAGAGCUUAAU
This 417-nucleotide long non-coding RNA is filed under the name Junco hyemalis (dark-eyed junco). Its description in RNAcentral is "lncRNA (ENSJHYG00000002928.1)". Lineage: Eukaryota; Metazoa; Chordata; Aves; Passeriformes; Passerellidae. The record is from RNAcentral.